CUGCAGUCGAACGGUAGCAGGAAGUGCUUGCACUUUGCUGACGAGUGGCGGACGGGUGAGUAAUGCUUGGGAACUUGCCUUUGCGAGGGGGAUAACAGUUGGAAACGACUGCUAAUACCGCAUAAUGUCUACGGACCAAACGGGGCUUAGGCUUCGGCGCAGAGAGAGGCCCAAGUGAGAUUAGCUAGUUGGUGGGGUAAAGGCUCACCAAGGCGACGAUCUCUAGCUGUUCUGAGAGGAAGAUCAGCCACACUGGGACUGAGACACGGCCCAGACUCCUACGGGAGGCAGCAGUGGGGAAUAUUGCACAAUGGGGGGAACCCUGAUGCAGCCAUGCCGCGUGUGUGAAGAAGGCCUUCGGGUUGUAAAGCACUUUCAGUUGUGAGGAAAAGUGAGUAGUUAAUACCUGCUCACCGUGACGUUAACAACAGAAGAAGCACCGGCUAACUCCGUGCCAGCAGCCGCGGUAAUACGGAGGGUGCGAGCGUUAAUCGGAAUUACUGGGCGUAAAGCGCACGCAGGCGGUUUGUUAAGCUAGAUGUGAAAGCCCCGAGCUCAACUUGGGAUGGUCAUUUAGAACUGGCAGACUAGAGUCUUGGAGAGGGGAGUGGAAUUCCAGGUGUAGCGGUGAAAUGCGUAGAUAUCUGGAGGAACAUCAGUGGCGAAGGCGACUCCCUGGCCAAAGACUGACGCUCAUGUGCGAAAGUGUGGGUAGCGAACAGGAUUAGAUACCCUGGUAGUCCACACCGUAAACGCUGUCUACUAGCUGUUUGUGGCUUUAAGCCGUGAGUAGCGAAGCUAACGCGAUAAGUAGACCGCCUGGGGAGUACGGCCGCAAGGUUAAAACUCAAAUGAAUUGACGGGGGCCCGCACAAGCGGUGGAGCAUGUGGUUUAAUUCGAUGCAACGCGAAGAACCUUACCUACACUUGACAUGCAGAGACUU
Molecule: ribosomal RNA, 944 nt
Filed under: Alteromonas sp.
Lineage: Bacteria; Pseudomonadati; Pseudomonadota; Gammaproteobacteria; Alteromonadales; Alteromonadaceae
Description: bacterial SSU rRNA
Rfam family: Bacterial small subunit ribosomal RNA
Source: RNAcentral